GAUGAAGAACGUAGCGAAAUGCGAUAAGUAAUGUGAAUUGCAGAAUCCAGUGAAUCAUCGAAUCUUUGAACGCACAUUGCGCCCGCCAGCAUUCUGGCGGGCAUGCCUGUUCGAGCGUCAUUUCAACCCUCGACCUCCCUUUGGAGAAGUCGGCGUUGGGGUCCGGCAGCACACCGCCGGCCCUGAAAUGGAGUGGCGGCCCGUCCGCGGCGACCCCUGCGUAGUAAACCAACUCGCACCGGAACCCCGACGUGGCCACGCCGUAAAACACCCAACUUCUGAACGUUGACCUCGAAUCAGGUAGGACUACCCGCUGAACUUAAGCAUAUCAAUAAGCGGAGGA
Molecule: unclassified non-coding RNA, 343 nt
Filed under: soil metagenome
Description: partial contains 5.8S ribosomal RNA, internal transcribed spacer 2, and large subunit ribosomal RNA
Rfam family: 5.8S ribosomal RNA (bases 1-120)
Source: RNAcentral